UUAUUUGAAGUGGAGAGAGGCUUAUUAGUGGUAACUUUUUUGAUAGAAAUUGUGACCUAGCUGCAAGAUCAUCACACUUGUCUUUGGGACAUCAUAACCCUUUUCUCAUUCCCAACAUAAUUCUUCAAUUAAAUUUUACAUCGACAAAGUAUGACUCAACAUCAGUGAAUAGCUUAUCAUCGACAAUUAUUUUUCUUUCCAU
RNAcentral lists this long non-coding RNA (202 nucleotides) under Capsicum annuum. RNAcentral's name for it is "long non-coding RNA (CANN_LNC022597)". Lineage: Eukaryota; Viridiplantae; Streptophyta; Magnoliopsida; Solanales; Solanaceae. The record is from RNAcentral.